RNAcentral lists this transfer RNA (76 nucleotides) under Oscillospiraceae bacterium. RNAcentral's name for it is "tRNA-OTHER". The record is from RNAcentral. Lineage: Bacteria; Bacillati; Bacillota; Clostridia; Eubacteriales; Oscillospiraceae.
GGAAGUAUGUUGUUGUCUGUUCUAUCGAAUAUUCACACGCAUGAGGCCACUGGUUCGAGUCCAGUAGCUUCCACCA